UUCUUGCGAUGGAUUCUGCGUGGCUCCACCACUCUCUGGCAAGUCACGACAACGGAUACUGCUCCACUCCCCGCAACAGGCUCCACAUGGAAGGCCACAGUGAUAGCCACGACUCCACUCCACCACUCUUCGUAACAAACUCCUCCUGGCCCCGAACGGCCCACUACCAGGCAGUUACAAAUAUCGCCAUCAGUCUGUUGCACCCUCCGCCUAUAAAAAGGGAACCCCAGAUACGUUAUUCUCUAAGCUCUAAUUUCUAUCUCGAAACUCUGCUAAAAUUUUCGUUCGAGCACUCCAUUCUUGUCGAGGC
This 310-nucleotide long non-coding RNA is filed under the name Elaeis guineensis (African oil palm). RNAcentral describes it as "long non-coding RNA (EGUI_LNC018918)". Lineage: Eukaryota; Viridiplantae; Streptophyta; Magnoliopsida; Arecales; Arecaceae. The record is from RNAcentral.